UGAAAGUGAGUCUUUGCAGAGCUCCUCAAGUUUCCACUAUGAUGGGGAGAGCAGUGACUGUGUUCCUCUGGGCUCUUAUUCCAGUGGUCCAGGCCCAGUCUCUGACCUCUUCAGAGCCAGUGGUCACCAGCCCGGGACAGUCUGUCUCACUGUCCUGUAAAGUGGAGGGGCUCUCUUUAGCUUGGCUGCACUGGAUUCGUCAGAAACCAGGGCGAGGACUGGACUGGAUCGGUCGCAUUGACAGUGGAACAGGCACCAUAUUUGCUCAAAGUGUCCAGGGCCAGUUUUCUAUCACAAAAGACACUUCAACAAACACUGUGUAUUUACAACUUCACAGUGCAAAGGAAGGAGAUACGGCUGUUUAUUACUGUGCACGAGAGGCACAGUGGUGCAGAGAGCUCCACAGCUUGAGAGGAGGAGUGUAUGCAGAGCAGAUGUAA
Non-coding RNA from Boleophthalmus pectinirostris (great blue-spotted mudskipper), 440 nucleotides. Lineage: Eukaryota; Metazoa; Chordata; Actinopteri; Gobiiformes; Gobiidae. The record is from the annotation of a RefSeq genome assembly.